CAUCACCUCAGGGUGUGGGGUGGGUGGGGAAUGGGAGGGGUGAGAAGAAGAAAAAAAAAACCUGUAAAGCAAUUUGGAAUCAAUGCUCAUGAAAGGCUCUGCCCAGUACCCAGAGUCUCCUCAGUCUGAAUGACCCUUGACCUUCAUGUCAUUUCCAGGGAGCAGGGACCCACUUCUGUAAUGUGGGUACACGAGGCUUCAUCUGAACGCCAUGUUCCUAACUGGAUCUGUGUGGCUCUGUUCACUUAUCUGUGAUCCCUUCCAACUCUACAGUGCUGUUUUCCCAUUAAGGGUCAACUGCAGCUGAAUUUAAAUUUCAGGUUGGCUCAGAUCAUCCUCUCUAGCUGUGUGAUCUUCCCAACCCGCCAUCUAUUCCACAGAGACAGCCCCUCUCUGUAGGGGAGCUGUGCCCAUCAAAGGGAGAAGCCGCAUCAAGAGGACCUGAUGCCCCCAGAAGCCUGGAUUGCUGGAUAUGCAUGUUUCUGUGAUGUACACAUAUACUCACACAUUUAUAAAACUACUGGUAUAUGUUGUGCCCUUGGUUUUAUUCUCUGUGUAUUUGAACUUUAUAAUAAAAAUACUUUUCACUGUGU
This 593-nucleotide long non-coding RNA is filed under the name Rattus norvegicus (Norway rat). RNAcentral describes it as "long non-coding RNA NONRATT017848". The record is from RNAcentral. Lineage: Eukaryota; Metazoa; Chordata; Mammalia; Rodentia; Muridae.